GGGCGAUUAGCUCAGCCGGUAGAGCAGCUGACUCUUAAUCAGCGGGUCGCAGGUUCGAUUCCUGCAUCGCCCA
RNAcentral lists this transfer RNA (73 nucleotides) under Planctomycetes bacterium RBG_13_44_8b. RNAcentral describes it as "tRNA-Lys". It matches the Rfam family "tRNA". Rfam says of the family: Transfer RNA (tRNA) molecules are approximately 80 nucleotides in length. Their secondary structure includes four short double-helical elements and three loops (D, anti-codon, and T loops). Further hydrogen bonds mediate the characteristic L-shaped molecular structure. tRNAs have two regions of fundamental functional importance: the anti-codon, which is responsible for specific mRNA codon recognition, and the 3' end, to which the tRNAs corresponding amino acid is attached (by aminoacyl-tRNA synthetases). tRNAs cope with the degeneracy of the genetic code in two manners: having more than one tRNA (with a specific anti-codon) for a particular amino acid; and 'wobble' base-pairing, i.e. permitting non-standard base-pairing at the 3rd anti-codon position. The record is from RNAcentral. Lineage: Bacteria; Pseudomonadati; Planctomycetota. RNAcentral also lists the same sequence under 3 other names.